RNAcentral lists this transfer RNA (71 nucleotides) under Loxodonta africana (African savanna elephant). It matches the Rfam family "tRNA". Rfam says of the family: Transfer RNA (tRNA) molecules are approximately 80 nucleotides in length. The record is from Rfam by way of RNAcentral. Lineage: Eukaryota; Metazoa; Chordata; Mammalia; Proboscidea; Elephantidae.
GCCGUGGUGGUUCACUGGUAGAAUUCUCACUUUUCAUGCAGGAGACCUGGGUUCGAUUCCCAGCCAACGCA